This 70-nucleotide transfer RNA is filed under the name Marmota marmota marmota (Alpine marmot). It matches the Rfam family "tRNA". From Rfam's summary of the family: Transfer RNA (tRNA) molecules are approximately 80 nucleotides in length. Their secondary structure includes four short double-helical elements and three loops (D, anti-codon, and T loops). The record is from Rfam by way of RNAcentral. RNAcentral also lists the same sequence under 2 other names. Lineage: Eukaryota; Metazoa; Chordata; Mammalia; Rodentia; Sciuridae.
GGGGUUGUAGCUCAGUGGUAGAGCACUUACUAGCAUGUAUGAGGCACUGGGUUCGAUCCUCAGCACCCCA